This 559-nucleotide ribosomal RNA is filed under the name uncultured Nitrosopumilales archaeon. Its description in RNAcentral is "bacterial SSU rRNA". It matches the Rfam family "Archaeal small subunit ribosomal RNA", at positions 319 to 879 of the family's 1478-position model. Lineage: Archaea; Thermoproteati; Nitrososphaerota; Nitrososphaeria; Nitrosopumilales. The record is from RNAcentral.
GGCCCUAUGGGGUGCAGCAGGCGAGAAAACUUUGCAAUGUGCGAAAGCACGACAAGGUUAAUCCGAGUGAUUUCUGCUAAAGAAAUCUUUUGCAAGUCAUAAAACCACUAGUGAAUAAGGGGUGGGCAAGUUCUGGUGUCAGCCGCCGCGGUAAAACCAGCACCUCAAGUGGUCAGGAGGGUUAUUGGGCCUAAAGCAUCCGUAGUCGGCUCUGUAAGUCUUCGGUUAAAUCCAUGUGCUCAACGCAUGGGCUGUCGAAAAUACUGCAUAGCUAGGGAGUGGGAGAGGUAGACGGUACUCGGUAGGAAGGGGUAAAAUCCUUUGAUCUAUCGAUGACCACCUGUGGCGAAGGCGGUCUACCAGAACACGUUCGACGGUGAGGGAUGAAAGCUGGGGGAGCAAACCGGAUUAGAUACCCGGGUAGUCCCAGCUGUAAACGAUGCAGACUCGAUGAUGCAUUGGCAUAUAGCCAGUGCAGUGUCGCAGGGAAGCCGUUAAGUCUGCCGCCUGGGAAGUACGUACGUAAGUAUGAAACUUAAAGGAAUUGGCGGGGGAGCAC